GAUGAACGCUAGCUACAGGCUUAACACAUGCAAGUCGAGGGACCGGCGCACGGGUGAGUAAAACGUAUCCAACCUGCCCUUUACCCGGGGAUAGCCUUUCGCAAGAAAGAUUAAUACCCGAUGUAAAGUAUGGGGAUGCGUUCCAUUAGGUUGUUGGUGAGGUAAUGGCUCACCAAGCCUUCGAUGGAUCGGGGGUCUGAGAGGAAGGUCCCCCACAUUGGAACUGAGACACGGUCCAAACUCCUACGGGAGGAAGCAGUGAUGAAUAGUGGUCAAUGGGCGGUAGCCUGAACCAGCCAAGUAGCGUGAAGGAUGAAGGCUUAUGGGUCGUAAACUUCUUUUAUAUAAGAAUAUGUAUUAUAUGAAUAAGGAUCGGCUAACUCCGUGCCAGCAGCCGCGGUAAUUC
Molecule: ribosomal RNA, 406 nt
Filed under: uncultured bacterium
Lineage: Bacteria
Description: partial 16S ribosomal RNA
Rfam family: Bacterial small subunit ribosomal RNA
Source: RNAcentral